Molecule: ribosomal RNA, 80 nt
Filed under: Actinomycetota bacterium
Lineage: Bacteria; Bacillati; Actinomycetota
Source: RNAcentral
UUCCGAACAGAGAAGUUAAGCCCGUCAGCGCCGAUGGUACUGCGGGGGGGACCCCGUGGGAGAGUAGGUCGUCGCCCAUU